This 22-nucleotide small nuclear RNA is filed under the name Arabidopsis thaliana (thale cress). RNAcentral's name for it is "snRNA_07587". Lineage: Eukaryota; Viridiplantae; Streptophyta; Magnoliopsida; Brassicales; Brassicaceae. The record is from RNAcentral.
AUAAAAUGAGUUGCGUCAACCC